Long non-coding RNA from Carassius carassius (crucian carp), 352 nucleotides. RefSeq lists it as uncharacterized. NCBI's taxonomy places the organism in Eukaryota, Metazoa, Chordata, Actinopteri, Cypriniformes, Cyprinidae. The transcript has 3 exons. The record is from RefSeq and is a predicted model, not a curated record.
AAUGUUUCCUCAUAAAUGCAGAGACACAUUUAUAACCAAUGAAACUUCCUACUAAACCACAUUCGGUACAAGAGCAGCUUAGAAGAAGCUGUCUGAGGUGGUGCUAAUCUGCCUUCAAAAAUUGGAUUUAAAAAGGCUUAGUCUCUGUUUAUUCUAACCUACAUUCUGGUUUUUCCUGACUUCAUCAUCAUGAGACUAUCUCUGGUUUCACAACAUCUGCUGGUGCUCACAUCAGUCCUAUCACUCACCAGGGCACAAUCAACAACUGCACAAACAAUAUUUCCAUUAAUAACAACACAUUCUACACCCGAGACAACAACAACAACAACAUCUGCACCAAUAUCAACAACAA